GCCCGGAUGGUCUAGAGGUAUGAUUCUCUCUUAGGGUCUUUAAUGAUCGUUUGGGAGAGGUCCUGGGUUCAAUUCCCAGUUCGGGCC
Pseudohyphozyma bogoriensis is the source of this 87-nucleotide non-coding RNA. NCBI's taxonomy places the organism in Eukaryota, Fungi, Basidiomycota, Microbotryomycetes, Chrysozymaceae. The record is from the annotation of a GenBank genome assembly.